UACGUAGGGGGCUAGCGUUAUUCGGAAUUACUGGGCGUAAAGGGUGCGUAGGUGGUUUCUUAAGUCAGAGGUGAAAGGCUACGGCUCAACCGUAGUAAGCCUUUGAAACUGGGAAACUUGAGUGCAGGAGAGGAGAGUGGAAUUCCUAGUGUAGCGGUGAAAUGCGUAGAUAUUAGGAGGAACACCAGUUGCGAAGGCGGCUCUCUGGACUGUAACUGACACUGAGGCACGAAAGCGUGGGGAGCAAACAGG
Molecule: ribosomal RNA, 252 nt
Filed under: Romboutsia timonensis
Lineage: Bacteria; Bacillati; Bacillota; Clostridia; Peptostreptococcales; Peptostreptococcaceae
Also listed under: 1 other name
Description: partial 16S ribosomal RNA
Rfam family: Bacterial small subunit ribosomal RNA
Source: RNAcentral